Molecule: transfer RNA, 72 nt
Filed under: bacterium
Lineage: Bacteria
Also listed under: 3 other names
Description: tRNA-Thr
Rfam family: tRNA
About the family: Transfer RNA (tRNA) molecules are approximately 80 nucleotides in length. Their secondary structure includes four short double-helical elements and three loops (D, anti-codon, and T loops).
Source: RNAcentral
GCUGCUGUGGCUCAGUGGUAGAGCACGUCCUUGGUAAGGACGGGGUCAUGGGUUCGAUCCCCAUCAGCAGCU